This 4469-nucleotide long non-coding RNA is filed under the name Triticum aestivum (bread wheat). RNAcentral's name for it is "long non-coding RNA (TAES_LNC011383)". The record is from RNAcentral. Lineage: Eukaryota; Viridiplantae; Streptophyta; Magnoliopsida; Poales; Poaceae.
GUACUUUGUCCCCCGGGCAUUGAUUUAUAAAAUGCUCCAGGGACAAAACUUAGCCUAUCUCUCAAGCAAGCAUAGCUUGUGAUGUAAACCACACGCUGUAGCUUACAUCCCAAGCUCACGCCCAUGCCUACCUAGCUUACAUGCCAAGCUAUCCCCCACUAUAUAAGCUAGCUCACAUCCAUCCAUCCAGGAGGAUGGACUCCCACGGCCACAAGGCCACUCACGCAUGCACACAUUCAUGCUACACUACUACUAGUGCUCUUGGCACUUGAGCUCACACACAGAUACGAAGCCAGAUGCCCACGACACUGACCUCAGAUAUAGCUCCAGAAGCAAUUCUGUACUGCCAGAUGUAUACAUUGCAUAUAUAUUCAGACAUGCAGGAGUGGGGAUAUUAUCUCUCCGAAGAGCCCCGAACCUGGGUAAAUCACCGCGUGAUGUUUGCCCAAUCCCGUCCCUUGACCUCCAAAGCAGUCUUGCCCUCACCACAAGCCACCUCGUGGCAUCUGUCGUCUCGCGAACCCGCCCGCGAGAUAACCACGACAGUUGGCGCCCACCGUGGGGUAAGCUGCCGCGGAAUCGCGGUCCGGGCGGGACCAUCUUCAUCAUCACCGCGGUGUCGCCGUCAUCUCUCCGGUAGCGCUCGAGGGCUCGACAUCAACACGCUCCCGGGCAAUUGCGCGAGACGGCGCGCCUUCGUCGUCGGCCUGGCCAUCUUCGUCACCUCCGCCGUGACGCCGCCGUCACCUCUCCGGCCGCGCUCGCGGGCUCGACUUCAACACGCCCGCGGGGCGGUGCAUCCUCCUCGUCGGCCUCGCCAUCUUCGUCGCCUCCGCUGCGACGCCGGCCGUCCGUCCACCCGCCGCGCCGCCUCGUUUUGGUCGGUCGUAUCCAUCCGUGCACCGCCCGCCUCGCUCGCCUUCCCUCCGCCAUGGCCUGGUUCUCAACCACCAUUAGUGCCCGGCAGCACCUUCUCUGUCCGCGACUCGUGAUGUUGCUCGCCUUCCUGCUCAUGCCCUGUACAUGCCCAGAUAAUCCCCAUACACUGCCCAUAUGCUACUCAGAUACUUCUCGUACCAUGGCCAGAUAAUGCCAUGCAUCACCAAAACCAUUGCCUGUACACUUCCGCGCAAGCCAGAUAAUAUCCAUUGUCUGCUCGUACGUUGACCGGAUGCGAGUCGGACGCUGCCCGGACUGUAGCAAUGCAGCCCACCCUCGGCUCCCUUCCUGCGGCCGCACAUUGCUGCAGCCCUGCCUCUACGCGCCGCUCUACUGCUCCCCAGCACCGCCCGUGCUGGUUGCUCCGCAUCUGCACACGCCGGCUGUUUUCCAGCCGCGCCAAGUCCCUUCUUCGGUUGCCUUCGAGCUGUGCCGGUCACGGCCCCGCUGCUACGCCAAGCGCUGCUCUCGCCUGCUCGAGCUCUGCUGCUCGCUCCAUCUUCUCCUGCCUCGCACGCGUCGCCUCGCUCCGCUCCACCAUCAUGGCCGAGGUCACCUCAAUGCCCCUGCGCGUCGCUUAGCCGGCUUCGUCCCGCGUCGCCGCCGCUCCUCUGCUGGGUCCGCGCGCGCCGGCCACUGCCGGGUCCGGCUCCGCCAGCCUCCCGCGCGCCGUCUGGCCGCGCCUCGUCGCUGGCUCCGCGCGCCUGCGUCGCCCCGCCUCGGUCGGCUCCGGUUUCCGCGUGCCCGCUGGCCAGCGCGGCCACGGCCGGCUCCGGCUCCCGCGCGGCCUCGACCUCUUCCUCGGACGACCGCGUCGCUCCUCCUCCGCCAAGCCCCCGUGCUCAGCCGCCUCCGCGCUCAGAUGUGCUGCUCCAGCUCCUACCCUUCCCGAGCACUCACGCCGGCUGGCCGGGUCGCCGCGGCCAGCACCGGAUCCAGCUCCCCCAGCAUCUCGUCCGGCCGCCUCGCUCCUCCGCGCUCAUCCCGCUCUGGCCUAUGCAUCAACCCGCGGCCGGCUCCGCCUCCGCCCCGUCCGCCCCGCCGAGUUGCCUCUGCACGCGGCCGGGUCGAGCCCGCCGGCUCGCGCCUCCCCGCGACCCACCCACAGGCUGGCUCCGCUCCCCGUCCUGCCUGCUCCGCGCCGGCCGCCUCGCGCCGUGCCGGGUCCCAGCACCCGGCCGCCAUCUCCACCAGCUCGCCUCGCGACCCGGCGCCUGCCGGCUCGUCCGCCACUCGGACGGCCGGGUUGCGUCCGCUUCCCGGCUCGCGCCCGCGACCCGGUAGGCCGGGUCACACCCGCUACCCGGCUAGUUGAGCAAAAAAAAUGCUGAAGCCGGCUGAAAAAAAAAUGCCGGCUGAAUAUGGGUCAGCUGCAGAAAAGAAAAGAAAAGGAAGAAAAAAGACAGAUGCGUCCGGCUGCCACAGCCGCGACCUGCCCGCGUCACCGUCUGGUCGCCCAGUCCGCAUGCCGGCUUCGACGCCUAGCCGGCUGGGGGCCCGACCCAUUCGCCCAUCUGCCUCAACACCGGCUAUGCCAAGCCGGCCCAGCCGUCAGUCCACCUCGACCGGUUGGGACCCUCCUUCGGGCACCCGGAGGCUCGAAGGCUAUCCCAGUGGGUGUGUCGGCGCGUUAGCGCCAAGCCGCGCCGACUGUCAUCGACAACCUCCGCCCCGUCAGCGCCAAAGCAAUGUGAUUUCCUCACCCGCAUACUUUCGCACCAUGUGCAAACACGGAUAACCCCGAGCGACGCUCGGGGACCACCUCCGCCUUUAUUACAGUUACACUACUGUUCGCCCCGGCGCCGGCUAGUCUCGGCCCGGAGGCUGGCCGCUCGGCUCGAUAUGUUCAUUUCCGCAGACAGCAUAGUAGCGCAUACGGUACCGAAGGUCCACUAUCAGCCACAGACCGCGGCGCGGCUGUCCGGCAAGCGAGAGCAAAAACUGGAGGUCACCCCACGCGAAAAACGUUCGGGAGAAGACGGCUUGGGCAACCCGGCCAUUUCCUUUAUGAGUAUCUACUCGGUCGAAUCUGCUCCUGUAGUCCGAGUACUGUACGCUCCACUCCGCGCCCACUCUUCGUAACAGCUAGAGGCCGGCUCCGAGCUGUCUAGCUAACAAGAGGCAAAGCCAAAGAGCGGAGGGGACAUGAAAAAGACUGAAGGGGCUCGGACGAAACCGAGUCGGCACCCUCCACAUAAAACUUGCAAUGCUAAAAAGCAAAUAUUUGAUAUAUCUGCGCAGACUAACCUUGUCUUUUGCACGAUCAUCGCUACGGGGAACCCCCUCCUCGCCCGGAGGCUCGGAGGCUACACGCGGGUUGCAGGCCCGACGCCGGCUGCAACUGGCGUUUCUGAUGCCACCGUCCGCUUCAUCAACAGCAAGACCCUCCGCAACUUUUCCAAGUUGCCUAGAGCUCGGAGGCUACACCCAGUAGGUGCGCUCGCGCGCCCCCACUCAGCCGGCGGAUUCCGUGUCCGCGCCCGGCACCCUCGGCGUCAUCGUCGGCUUCUUCAUCAACAGCAAGACCCUCCGCGCAACUUUUCCAAGUUGCCCGGAGGUUUGGAGGCUACACCAGUGGGUGCACUCGCGCGCCCCACUCAGCCGGCGGAUUCCGUGUCCGCGCCCGGCACCUUCGACGUCAUCGUCGUCUUCUUCAUCAACAACAAGACCCUCCGCGCAAUUUUUCCAAGUUGCCCGGAGGCUCGGAGGCUACACCCAAUGGGUGCGCUCGCGCACCCCCACUCAGCCGGGGACUCCGUGUCCGCACCCAGCCCCCUCGACGUCAUCGUCGGCUUCUUCAUCAACACCAAGACCCUCCGCCCAACUUUUCCAAGUUGCCCGGAGGCUCGGAGGCUGCACCCAGUGGUAGCGCUCGCGUGCCCCCACUCGGAACACGUCGCGCCUAUUGCACGCCCGCCGCCGGCUGCAACCGGCAUCUUCGUCGCCAUUUACUGCUUCAUCGACGCCCGCUAAAACCCUCCGCGCAACUUUUCCAAGUUGCCCGGAGGCUACUUACGGGGGGAUGACCCUCGGGUAGGCCCAAGACGGCGAACGACGCUUCAAAAACAUCGGGGCCAGCAACGCCCCUCAAUCCGGCUCGCACUUGGCCGGGUUGCUCAACCCGACCAAGUCCCUCAACCCGGCCGGACUCCUCAACCCUGCCGCCCGGCCGGGUCCCUGUCCGACUGCUCCAGCCGGCCUACUACGCGAAGUCAACCGCGACAUCACAUCCGACGCAACACCGACAAGACGGCCAUACUGCAACCAUUGUUGCUGAUAAAGCACAUAUUGUUCACUCGUCACGCGCGACAUCAUCUGCAGUGUACUUUGUCCCAUGGGCAUUGAUUUAUAAAAUGUCCCCAAAGACAAAACUUAGCCUAUCUCUCAAGAAAGCAUAGCUUGUGAUGUAAGCCACACGCCCAUGCCUGCCUAGCUUACAUGCCAAGCUAGCCCCCACUAUAUAAGCUAGCUCACAUCCAUCCAUCCAGGAGGAUGGACUCCCACGGCCACAAGGCCACUCACGCAUGCAC